CCUACGGGAGGCAGCAGUGAGGAAUAUUGGUCAAUGGGCGCGAGCCUGAACCAGCCAAGUCGCGUGAGGGAAGACGGUCCUAUGGAUUGUAAACCUCUUUUGUCGGGGAGCAAACGACGCCACGCGUGGCGUUCCGCGCGUACCCGAAGAACAAGCAUCGGCUAACUCCGUGCCAGCAGCCGCGGUAAUCCGGAGGAUGCGAGCGUUAUCCGGAUUUAUUGGGUUUAAAGGGUGCGCAGGCGGAAGAUCAAGUCAGCGGUAAAAUUGAGAGGCUCAACCUCUUCGAGCCGUUGAAACUGGUUUUCUUGAGUGAGUGAGAAGUAGGCGGAAUGCGUGGUGUAGCGGUGAAAUGCAUAGAUAUCACGCAGAACUCCGAUUGCGAAGGCAGCAUACCGGCGCGCAACUGACGCUCAUGCACGAAAGUGUGGGUAUCGAACAGGAUUAGAUACCCGAGUAGUC
This 459-nucleotide ribosomal RNA is filed under the name uncultured bacterium. RNAcentral's name for it is "partial 16S ribosomal RNA". It matches the Rfam family "Bacterial small subunit ribosomal RNA", at positions 338 to 795 of the family's 1533-position model. The record is from RNAcentral.